RNAcentral lists this ribosomal RNA (301 nucleotides) under uncultured bacterium. RNAcentral's name for it is "partial 16S ribosomal RNA". It matches the Rfam family "Bacterial small subunit ribosomal RNA", at positions 509 to 807 of the family's 1533-position model. The record is from RNAcentral.
CAUCAGCCACGGGAAUACGUAGGUGGCAAGCGUUGUCCGGAAUUAUUGGGCGUAAAGCGCGCGCAGGUGGUUUAAUAAGUCUGAUGUGAAAGCCCACGGCUCAACCGUGGAGGGUCAUUGGAAACUGUUAAACUUGAGUGCAGGAGAGAAAAGUGGAAUUCCUAGUGUAGCGGUGAAAUGCGUAGAGAUUAGGAGGAACACCAGUGGCGAAGGCGGCUUUUUGGCCUGUAACUGACACUGAGGCGCGAAAGCGUGGGGAGCAAACAGGAUUAGAUACCCGAGUAGUCCCUGUCUCUUAUAC